GUUUGAUCCUGGCUCAGAAUGAACGCUGGCGGCGUGCUUAACACAUGCAAGUCGUACGAGAACUCUUCUGCUUGCAGAAGAUAGUAAAGUGGCGCACGGGUGAGUAACGCGUGGGUAAUCUACCUCUAAAUCGGGGAUAACCCGCCGAAAGGCGAGCUAAUACCGGAUAAUAUCUUUAAAACUUAGGUUUUUAAGAUCAAAGGUGGUCUCUACAUGUAAGCUACUGUUUGGAGAUGAGCCCGCGUACCAUUAGCUUGUUGGUAGGGUAAUGGCCUACCAAGGCCGCGAUGGUUAGCUGGUCUGAGAGGAUGAUCAGCCACACUGGAACUGACACACGGUCCAGACUCCUACGGGAGGCAGCAGUGAGGAAUUUUGCGCAAUGGGGGAAACCCUGACGCAGCAACGCCGCGUGAGUGAUGAAGGCUUUCGGGUCGUAAAGCUCUGUCAAGUGGGAAGAAUCUGCUCGAUGCUAAUACCAUCUAGCACUGACGGUACCACUAAAGGAAGCACCGGCUAACUCCGUGCCAGCAGCCGCGGUAAUACGGGGGGUGCAAGCGUUAUUCGGAAUUAUUGGGCGUAAAGGGCGCGUAGGCGGUCUCUAAAGUCAGAUGUGAGAGCCCGGGGCUUAACCCCGGAAGUGCAUUUGAAACUCAGGGACUUGAGUAUGGGAGAGGGAAGUGGAGUUCCUGGUGUAGCGGUGAAAUGCGUAGAUAUCAGGAGGAACACCAGUGGCGAAGGCGACUUCCUGGACCAAUACUGACGCUGAGGCGCGAAGGCGUGGGGAGCAAACAGGAUUAGAUACCCUGGUAGUCCACGCAGUAAACGGUGAACACUAGGUGUAGCGGGUAUUGACCCCUGCUGUGCCGCAGCUAACGCAUUAAGUGUUCCGCCUGGGGAGUACGAUCGCAAGA
This 911-nucleotide ribosomal RNA is filed under the name uncultured bacterium. RNAcentral's name for it is "bacterial SSU rRNA". It matches the Rfam family "Bacterial small subunit ribosomal RNA", at positions 11 to 893 of the family's 1533-position model. The record is from RNAcentral.